UACGUAGGGGGCGAGCGUUGUCCGGAUUUAUUGGGCGUAAAGAGCGUGUAGGCGGUUCGGUAAGUCUGUCGUGAAAUCCUGAGGCUCAACCUCGGACGUGCGAUGGAUACUGCCGGGCUAGAGGAUGGUAGAGGCGAGUGGAAUUCCCGGUGUAGCGGUGAAAUGCGCAGAUAUCGGGAGGAACACCAGUAGCGAAGGCGGCUCGCUGGGCCAUUCCUGACGCUGAGACGCGAAAGCUAGGGGAGCAAACAGG
This 253-nucleotide ribosomal RNA is filed under the name uncultured bacterium. RNAcentral describes it as "partial 16S ribosomal RNA". It matches the Rfam family "Bacterial small subunit ribosomal RNA", at positions 524 to 776 of the family's 1533-position model. The record is from RNAcentral.